RNAcentral lists this transfer RNA (56 nucleotides) under Bos taurus (domestic cattle). It matches the Rfam family "tRNA", at positions 8 to 63 of the family's 71-position model. Rfam says of the family: Transfer RNA (tRNA) molecules are approximately 80 nucleotides in length. Their secondary structure includes four short double-helical elements and three loops (D, anti-codon, and T loops). The record is from Rfam by way of RNAcentral. RNAcentral also lists the same sequence under 3 other names. Lineage: Eukaryota; Metazoa; Chordata; Mammalia; Artiodactyla; Bovidae.
UAGCUUAGUCAGUAAAGAAUCUGCCUGCAAUGCAGGAGACCAGGGUUCGAUCCCUG